GACGAACGCUGGCGGCGCGCCUAACACAUGCAAGUCGAACGAGCGAGAGGAAGCUUGCUUUCUCGAGCGAGUGGCGAACGGGUGAGUAACGCGUGAGGAACCUGCCUCAAAGAGGGGGACAACAGUUGGAAACGACUGCUAAUACCGCAUAAGCCCACGGCUCGGCAUCGAGCAGAGGGAAAAGGAGCAAUCCGCUUUGAGAUGGCCUCGCGUCCGAUUAGCUAGUUGGUGAGGUAACGGCCCACCAAGGCGACGAUCGGUAGCCGGACUGAGAGGUUGAACGGCCACAUUGGGACUGAGACACGGCCCAGACUCCUACGGGAGGCAGCAGUGGGGAAUAUUGCACAAUGGGGGAAACCCUGAUGCAGCGACGCCGCGUGGAGGAAGAAGGUCUUCGGAUUGUAAACUCCUGUUGUUGGGGAAGAUAAUGACGGUACCCAACAAGGAAGUGACGGCUAACUACGUGCCAGCAGCCGCGGUAAAACGUAGGUCACAAGCGUUGUCCGGAAUUACUGGGUGUAAAGGGAGCGCAGGCGGGAAGACAAGUUGGAAGUGAAAUCCAUGGGCUCAACCCAUGAACUGCUUUCAAAACUGUUUUUCUUGAGUAGUGCAGAGGUAGGCGGAAUUCCCGGUGUAGCGGUGGAAUGCGUAGAUAUCGGGAGGAACACCAGUGGCGAAGGCGGCCUACUGGGCACCAACUGACGCUGAGGCUCGAAAGUGUGGGUAGCAAACAGGAUUAGAUACCCUGGUAGUCCACACCGUAAACGAUGAUUACUAGGUGUUGGAGGAUUGACCCCUUCAGUGCCGCAGUUAACACAAUAAGUAAUCCACCUGGGGAGUACGACCGCAAGGUUGAAACUCAAAGGAAUUGACGGGGGCCCGCACAAGCAGUGGAGUAUGUGGUUUAAUUCGACGCAACGCGAAGAACCUUACCAAGUCUUGACAUCCCUUGACGAUGCUGGAAACAGUAUUUCUCUUCGGAGCAAGGAGACAGGUGGUGCAUGGUUGUCGUCAGCUCGUGUCGUGAGAUGUUGGGUUAAGUCCCGCAACGAGCGCAACCCUUAUGGUCAGUUACUACGCAAGAGGACUCUGGCCAGACUGCCGUUGACAAAACGGAGGAAGGUGGGGAUGACGUCAAAUCAUCAUGCCCUUUAUGACUUGGGCUACACACGUACUACAAUGGCGUUAAACAAAGAGAAGCAAGACCGCGAGGUGGAGCAAAACUCAGAAACAACGUCCCAGUUCGGACUGCAGGCUGCAACUCGCCUGCACGAAGUCGGAAUUGCUAGUAAUCGUGGAUCAGCAUGCCACGGUGAAUACGUUCCCGGGCCU
RNAcentral lists this ribosomal RNA (1332 nucleotides) under uncultured bacterium. Its description in RNAcentral is "bacterial SSU rRNA". It matches the Rfam family "Bacterial small subunit ribosomal RNA", at positions 28 to 1381 of the family's 1533-position model. The record is from RNAcentral.